ACCCGCUGAACUUAAGCAUAUCAAUAAGCGGAGGAAAAGAAACCAACAGGGAUUGCCUUAGUAACGGCGAGUGAAGCGGCAACAGCUCAAAUUUGAAAUCUGGCCCUCGGGUCCGAAUUGUAAUUUGUAGAGGAUGAUUUUGGUGCGGUAUCUUCCGAGUUCCUUGGAACAGGACGCCUUAGAGGGUGAGAGCCCCGUACGGUUGAAUGCCUAGCCUCUGUAAAUCUCCUUCGACGAGUCGAGUAGUUUGGGAAUGCUGCUCUAAAUGGGAGGUAAAUUUCUUCUAAAGCUAAAUAUUGGCCAGAGACCGAUAGCGCACAAGUAGAGUGAUCGAAAGAUGAAAAGCACUUUGAAAAGAGGGUUAAAUAGCACGUGAAAUUGUUGAAAGGGAAGGAUUUGUGACCAGACUUUUUCUGGGCGGAUCAUCCGGGGUUCUCUCCGGUGCACUUUGCCCAGUAAAGGCCAGCAUCGAUUUUCGGCGGCGGAUAAAAGCAGUGGGAAUGUGGCUCCCUACGGGGAGUGUUAUAGCCCAUUGUAUAAUACGCUGCUGGGGAUCGAGGUACGCGCUUCUGCAAGGAUGCUGGCGUAAUGGUUAUCAAUCACCCGUCUUGAAACACGGACCAAGGAGUCGAACAUUUAUGCGAGUGUUUGGGUGUUAAACCCUCACGCGUAAUGAAAGUGAACGGAGGUGAGAGCCCGUACGGGUGCAUCAUCGACCGAUCCUGAAGUUUUCGGAUGGAUUUGAGUAAGAGCAUAACUGUUCGGACCCGAAAGAUGGUGAACUAUGCGUGGAUAGGGUGAAGCCAGAGGAAACUCUGGUGGAGGCUCGCAGCGGUUCUGACGUGCAAAUCGAUCGUCAAA
This 861-nucleotide ribosomal RNA is filed under the name fungal sp. mh1177.2. RNAcentral describes it as "eukaryotic LSU rRNA". It matches the Rfam family "Eukaryotic large subunit ribosomal RNA", at positions 23 to 909 of the family's 3401-position model. The record is from RNAcentral. Lineage: Eukaryota; Fungi.